UGGGGAAUUUUGCACAAUGGGGGAAACCCUGAUGCAGCGACGCCGCGUGAUUUAGAAGGCCUUCGGGUUGUAAAAAUCUUUUCUAUGGGAAGAAAAUGACAGUACCAUAGGAAUAAGGACCGGCUAAUUACGUGCCAGCAGCCGCGGUAAUACGUAAGGUCCGAGCGUUGUCCGGAAUCAUUGGGCGUAAAGGGUACGUAGGCGGGUAAGCAAGUUAGAAGUGAAAUCCUAUAGCUCAACUAUAGUAAGCUUUUAAAACUGCUCAUCUUGAGGUAUGGAAGUGAAAGUGGAAUUCCUAGUGUAGCGGAGAAAUGCGCAGAUAUUAGGAGGAAUACCGGUGGCGAAGGCGACUUUCUGGCCAUAACCUGACGCUGAGGUACGAAAGCGUGGGUAGCAAACAGG
RNAcentral lists this ribosomal RNA (402 nucleotides) under bacterium. Its description in RNAcentral is "partial 16S ribosomal RNA". It matches the Rfam family "Bacterial small subunit ribosomal RNA", at positions 355 to 776 of the family's 1533-position model. The record is from RNAcentral.